UGCCACGUUAAUCGCGAUACUCGAAAGGUACAAAAUUGCACAAUCGGAUUUGUCAAGUAGAAUUGGAAGUAUCUCUUAAAAAAUUUAAGAUAUCAUAUUCUUUUCUAAUGUUACCUCUAAGAAUUUCAUUAGUAAAAUUGCAUAGUUGCAAAAUAAUUCAUUUUUAUGCUUGGGCUCAAAUCGGCAACUUUUGCACUUUCAGAUCUGGCAACAUUAUUCAUGCUGUUCGUUACUUUCUUUGAAAAUGCCGUUCGCAAUGGAACCCGUUUCAGAGAGCUCCGAUGUCAUUCCAUCAGAAAUUUUUGAAAAGUUAACGAGUUUUUUAUUUUAUAAAUAUUUUCCCUCUGAAGAUGCAGCUCAGAAAUUUUCCACAUCCAGAUUUAACCAAUUUCAUUCCGCCUUGUCCUCGUUGCGGAGGUAAGUUUUACUUUAUUUCUGCCUGUGCCAGGAGUGCCUUACGCGGAUAUCUGUAUGUUAACUAAUUCAAUUUGUCGUAUUUUUCAGGCGCGAUGGAGAAGAAAGCGGAUUCGUCAGAGAAGUUCGGGUAUAUCUACCGCUGUGAGAAAAUAAAUCAAAGAGAAAAAAAGAGAAGACGAACUGGAGGCUUUAUCUGGAGAGCCAAGUGCACCGGCGCGAUCUCUUGUGCCCAAAAUACAUUUUUUGAAGGAGCUAAGCUCUCAGUUCAAAAGAUAUAAUAUCGUGGCAUUUGGCAUUAUAUUUUCGGUAGCCAUAUUUUUUCUUUUCUUUGUUCUCGUCUUUCUGGAAUUUUCCUGUUUAAUCCUACCCUUGGGAGUUGAUUAUUCACAUCUAAGACAAUAGAAACUAAGUAGCCCUAAGGGGUUAACAGGGUAAGGGAAGGACACCCACAGAAUCGGCGGUUUCACGUUACGUUACGUGUUUCUGUAAUUCGAUCGUAUCGCUUAAGAUGAUGUAUGUUUUAUGAGAUAAUUUUUUUUUAUUUUUGUAUUUAACAGGUGCUGAUGAUUAUUUACUCGUGGGUCAAGGAGGAGCCGGUCACCAUCGCUGCGAAUGAAUGCGGCGUGGCCAUGCAUACAGCGGUGGACUGGUACAACUUCUGCCGGGAAAUUGCGGAGGUUAUCGUCUCUAACGAGCAAAAACAGAUUGGCGGUAAAAAUCUACGCGUCGAGAUUGAUGAAACUUUUACCAGGAGACGAAAGUACAACCGUGGGCGCAUAACCAAAGGCACACAACUAACUAUAUUUGAUGCCUAUUGUCGGGAAACACGAGAGAUUACUGGCAUGUGGAGAACAAAAGCAGGCGCCUAUGAAGCCACAUAUCCAGAUACAUCGCUCCAGGUUCCAUAAUCGUUUCCGACAGCGCUCCGCAAUAUCGCAGUUGUACGACGAUGGGCUUCUCGGAAUACAAGACCGUUAAUCACAGCCAGCAGGGCCCCGGGAGAUUCGUCAACAGCGAUGAUCCCCAGGCUCAUACUCAAAACAUCGAGUGUAGACAUCGCUGGCUGAAGAAGUCCAUCAAGUCGCUUCGCACGGACAGGAGCCUGCAGAGCUACACAUGCACUUAUGUAUACAGGACGCGGUUCCUGUCCCAGUUGCCAACAAUAUCGGCAAAAUUCCGGCAGUUCGUCGAACAUAUUAUGGCCGUCUACCCGGGCCCCGGUCGUGAGGGUCUCCAACUGAAGACGAUCGGUGUACCCGUGGACGAAGAUCAGCCGCCAGACGAGCCCUAUUUUGAUGUGUACCUGCCGACGAAGAGGAACCGCAAGAAAAUGACGAACCCCCCCCCCAGUGAAUAGUGCAGCUUUUGUAUAGUGGGCGUGACCAAAGGAUAGUUCCUUGCAGAUGUGAAACCUGGAUUAUGUGAUUUUUCAGACUUCGGAUACCUCGGACGCAACAGCACCUUUGUCGUCGACCCGAAGGACCAAGCGGAGGCAGGGGCCAGCGGCCUCAGCUAACCAGCAAAGCCUAGAUGUCGCCAAAUAGCGAGAAGGGAGGACAGCGCCUCCUCUUGCGGGAAACGCAGAAAAGGCGCUGUGAAGGUGAGUGUCUGUUUUUUCC
RNA transcript from Centruroides sculpturatus (bark scorpion), 2036 nucleotides. RefSeq lists it as uncharacterized. NCBI's taxonomy places the organism in Eukaryota, Metazoa, Arthropoda, Arachnida, Scorpiones, Buthidae. The record is from RefSeq and is a predicted model, not a curated record. The transcript is spliced from 4 exons.